This 193-nucleotide ribosomal RNA is filed under the name uncultured bacterium. RNAcentral describes it as "partial 16S ribosomal RNA". It matches the Rfam family "Bacterial small subunit ribosomal RNA", at positions 338 to 523 of the family's 1533-position model. The record is from RNAcentral.
CCUACGGGAGGCAGCAGUGGGGAAUUUUGGACAAUGGACGCAAGUCUGAUCCAGCCAUGCCGCGUGCGGGAAGAAGGCCUUCGGGUUGUAAACCGCUUUUGUCAGGGAAGAAACGGCCUGGGUUAAUACCUUGGGCUAAUGACGGUACCUGAAGAAUAAGCACCGGCUAACUACGUGCCAGCAGCCGCGGUAA